RNAcentral lists this ribosomal RNA (752 nucleotides) under uncultured Mobiluncus sp. Its description in RNAcentral is "bacterial SSU rRNA". It matches the Rfam family "Bacterial small subunit ribosomal RNA", at positions 28 to 776 of the family's 1533-position model. The record is from RNAcentral. Lineage: Bacteria; Bacillati; Actinomycetota; Actinomycetes; Actinomycetales; Actinomycetaceae.
GACGAACGCUGGCGGCGUGCUUAACACAUGCAAGUCGAACGAUGAAGCGGGUGCUUGCACUCGUGGAUUAGUGGCGAACGGGCGAGUAACACGUGAGUAACCUGUCCUUUUCUUUGGGAUAACGGCUGGAAACGGCUGCUAAUACUGGAUAUUCAGGCUGCAUCGCAUGGUGUGGUUUGGAAAGGUUUUUUCUGGGAUUGGGUGGGCUCGCGGCCUAUCAGCUUGUUGGUGGGGUGAUGGCUUACCAAGGCUUUGACGGGUAGCCGGCCUGAGAGGGUGGUCGGUCGCACUGGGACUGAGAUACGGCCCAGACUCCUACGGGAGGCAGCAGUGGGGAAUAUUGCACAAUGGACGAAAGUUUGAUGCAGCGACGCCGCGUGGAGGGUGUAGGCCUUCGGGUUGUGAACUCCUUUUUCUCGCGAAAAAGGCACAGUUUUGGCUGUGUUGAUGGUAGUGGGGGAAGAAGCGCCGGCUAACUACGUGCCAGCAGCCGCGGUAAUACGUAGGGCGCGAGCGUUGUCCGGAUUUAUUGGGCGUAAAGAGCUCGUAGGUGGUUCGUCGCGUCUGUCGUGAAAGCCAGCAGCUUAACUGUUGGUCUGCGGUGGGUACGGGCGGGCUUGAGUGCGGUAGGGGUGACUGGAAUUCCUGGUGUAGCGGUGGAAUGCGCAGAUAUCAGGAGGAACACCGAUGGCGAAGGCAGGUCACUGGGCCGUUACUGACACUGAGGAGCGAAAGCGUGGGGAGCGAACAGG